Molecule: long non-coding RNA, 1269 nt
Organism: Phasianus colchicus (ring-necked pheasant)
Lineage: Eukaryota; Metazoa; Chordata; Aves; Galliformes; Phasianidae
Source: RefSeq, a predicted model, not a curated record
GCUCCAAUCUGUCUCUGAAAAGGCCCUUCUAAAGUAGUUAUUUUGCACCAGAUCCUCCUGGUUUCAGCAGGUGGGUUUAGAAGCUAGACGUGCUGAUGCAGAGCUCCUGGCACCUGGGGUGGCAAUGCCAGGUGAGGGCAAUCAGGGCUAAUUAGAGUGGGAGGGGCUGGCAGUGGCUGUGUCUUUCAGACCUUUGUAAGCUUUGUUGGGAGCACAACUGUUGGUGUUCCAUAGCUCUGGGUGAGGAGGAGAUGGGUGUAGCAGCAAGCAAAGAGGGCACAGGAAAGGUUCACUACUUUGGAAGGUCCCUAGCUCAAUGGAUAAACAUCUCUUUUUAGCUUUCAAACAAGUUUUGGACCAGAUAGAAGAACUGAGGCCCAGAAAAUCCCACGUCAUGUGAAAUGGCACAGUGGUUUGGUGACGGAGUUGCUCUUUCCUACUCCUAUAAGCUGAAGAAAACUGCCCUGCUCUUCUGUUGUGUUUAUAGUAGCAUGCAAGCAAUCAGCCAAACAUUUCCCUGCAUGAAUCUCAUGUUUUUUUGAGCUCCUUCUGUACUUCCACAAUCACUUAGUAGUUAAAAAUGACCUGCGCUCUGCGUAUUCUGCCUGUCCGUGCUUGGGAAGGAAGUUCUGAAUUACCUUAAGCGUCUGAUUUUUAUAUAUAUAUAUUUUAAAUAUAGCUUUCAAUUCAUUCACUCUUAAUUCAAUAAGAACCAUAGUUAACAGAUAUCUAUGAGUGCAGACUGUAGCCUCAAUUUUUCACGUUUAUGGGCUUUUCUGUGUAUUCAUCUAAUGAAAAGUAAAGACUGGGCAGUUGCAUGUAAAUAUUCAUAAAUAAUAGUGCUUGAGGCUGCUGCCCGCGUGCGUGAAUGAAACUCUGUUUUUCUCCUGUCACAUGAAGCUUUAAGGACUUUUUGUCCUGAUCAAGAAGGAAUGCUUUAAUAAGCAUCCAUGUUAGAGGGUUUGUGCUGUGUAAGCUUGGUACAGACCAUAUGGGCAAAAAGGCACGUUGUGUGGCAACAACUGCCCUGCUUGUCAUCCCCAAUCAUACUUGCUCUAAUCCUUGUUUUAAUUUACUCUGCUUGUACGGCACCAAUUCUGCCAGUGCGGUCCUUGGGGUCCCUUCAUUCCUGCCAUUUAUGACAAGGAAUAUGCAAAGGCACAAUUAUUCAUCCACUAAGGUGACAGAGAAGGGCUCUGCUUGGGAAUACGUUCCCAGACUUGCAGCAUCAUAAUGUCAGUUGUUAAAGCACUUUGCAGUUGCCAACAA